This 484-nucleotide ribosomal RNA is filed under the name uncultured bacterium. RNAcentral describes it as "partial 16S ribosomal RNA". It matches the Rfam family "Bacterial small subunit ribosomal RNA", at positions 30 to 507 of the family's 1533-position model. The record is from RNAcentral.
AGUGAACGCUGGCGGCAGGCCUAACACAUGCAAGUCGAGCGGCAGCGGGUCCUUCGGGAUGCCGGCGAGCGGCGGACGGGUGAGGAAUACAUCGGAAUCUGCCCUGUCGUGGGGGAUAACCUAGGGAAACUUAGGCUAAUACCGCAUACGACCUACGGGUGAAAGCGGGGGAUCGCAAGACCUCGCGCGACAGGAUGAGCCGAUGUCCGAUUAGCUAGUUGGCGGGGUAAAGGCCCACCAAGGCGACGAUCGGUAGCUGGUCUGAGAGGAUGAUCAGCCACACUGGGACUGAGACACGGCCCAGACUCCUACGGGAGGCAGCAGUGGGGAAUAUUGGACAAUGGGCGAAAGCCUGAUCCAGCCAUGCCGCGUGGGUGAAGAAGGCCUUCGGGUUGUAAAGCCCUUUUGUCCGGGAAGAAAUCGUCUGGGCUAAUACCCCGGGCGGAUGACGGUACCGAAAGAAUAAGCACCGGCUAACUUCGUG